GUUUUAAUAAUUUAAUAAAAAUAUUGAUUUUGUAAAUCAAAUAUAGGAAUUAUCCUUUAAAUCAUC
Molecule: transfer RNA, 66 nt
Filed under: Anaka burmensis
Lineage: Eukaryota; Metazoa; Arthropoda; Insecta; Hemiptera; Cicadellidae
Description: tRNA-Thr
Source: RNAcentral